This 376-nucleotide unclassified non-coding RNA is filed under the name uncultured bacterium. RNAcentral describes it as "contains 16S-23S intergenic spacer region". The record is from RNAcentral.
UCCGGCUUAACGCCGGCGGUCUCCCUAGAGUGCCCAACUGAAUGGUGGCAACUAAGGACAAGGGUUGCGCUCGUUGCGGGACUUAACCCAACACCUCACGGCACGAGCUGACGACAGCCGUGCAGCACCUGCACAGGCUCCCUUGCGGGUCCCUUGGCUUUCGCCGCGGUACCACCUGCAUGUCAAGUCCGGGUAAGGUUCUUCGCGUUGCAUCGAAUUAAACCACACGCUCCGCUGCUUGUGCGGGCCCCCGUCAAUUCCUUUGAGUUUCAACCUUGCGGCCGUACUCCCCAGGCGGGACGCUUAAUGCGUUAGCUGCGCCACUGAUAAGCAUGCUUACCAACGGCUAGCAUCCAUCGUUUACGGCGUGGACUAC